GACGAACGCUGGCGGCGUGCCUAAUACAUGCAAGUAGAACGCUGAAGGAGGAGCUUGCUCUUCUGGAUGAGUUGCGAACGGGUGAGUAACGCGUAGGUAACCUGCCUGGUAGCGGGGGAUAACUAUUGGAAACGAUAGCUAAUACCGCAUAACAGUAGAUGUUGCAUGACAUUUGCUUAAAAGGUGCAAUUGCACCACUACCAGAUGGACCUGCGUUGUAUUAGCUAGUUGGUGGGGUAACGGCUCACCAAGGCGACGAUACAUAGCCGACCUGAGAGGGUGAUCGGCCACACUGGGACUGAGACACGGCCCAGACUCCUACGGGAGGCAGCAGUAGGGAAUCUUCGACAAUGGACGGAAGUCUGACCGAGCAACGCCGCGUGAGUGAAGAAGGUUUUCGGAUCGUAAAGCUCUGUUGUAAGAGAAGAACGAGUGUGAGAGUGGAAAGUUCACACUGUGACGGUAUCUUACCAGAAAGGGACGGCUAACUACGUG
Molecule: ribosomal RNA, 495 nt
Filed under: uncultured bacterium
Lineage: Bacteria
Description: partial 16S ribosomal RNA
Rfam family: Bacterial small subunit ribosomal RNA
Source: RNAcentral